AUGAACUUAGCUUGCUAAGUUUGAUGGCGACCGGCGCACGGGUGAGUAACACGUAUCCCACCUGCCGAUGACUCGGGGAUAGCCUUUCGAAAGAAAGAUUAAUACCCGAUGGCAUAGUUCUUCCGCAUGGUGGAACUAUUAAAGAAUUUCGGUCAUCGAUGGGGAUGCGUUCCAUUAGGUUGUUGGCGGGGUAACGGCCCACCAAGCCUUCGAUGGAUAGGGGUUCUGAGAGGAAGGUCCCCCACAUUGGAACUGAGACACGGUCCAAACUCCUACGGGAGGCAGCAGUGAGGAAUAUUGGUCAAUGGACGAGAGUCUGAACCAGCCAAGUAGCGUGAAGGAUGACUGCCCUAUGGGUUGUAAACUUCUUUUAUACGGGAAUAAAGUGAGGCACGUGUGCCUUUUUGUAUGUACCGUAUGAAUAAGGAUCGGCUAACUCCGUGCCAGCAGCCGCGGUAAUACGGAGGAUCCGAGCGUUAUCCGGAUUUAUUGGGUUUAAAGGGAGCGUAGGUGGACAGUUAAGUCAGUUGUGAAAGUUUGCGGCUCAACCGUAAAAUUGCAGUUGAUACUGGCUGUCUUGAGUACAGUAGAGGUGGGCGGAAUUCGUGGUGUAGCGGUGAAAUGCUUAGAUAUCACGAAGAACUCCGAUUG
This 651-nucleotide ribosomal RNA is filed under the name uncultured Bacteroides sp. RNAcentral's name for it is "bacterial SSU rRNA". It matches the Rfam family "Bacterial small subunit ribosomal RNA", at positions 69 to 715 of the family's 1533-position model. The record is from RNAcentral. Lineage: Bacteria; Pseudomonadati; Bacteroidota; Bacteroidia; Bacteroidales; Bacteroidaceae.